ACUGAAACUCUCUAUUUUCAGUUCAUUCAUUAUCCUGUGGUGCUCUCAUUUUCAGCUCUUUGUUUUAUUUAGUUCCACUCCCAUUGUCCAGGCUCAACCUCAUUUAAACUCGGGUAUUAUUUUGACCCGAUUGCAUUUUAGCGAAGCAUCCUUCGUUUCAAGGCGGACCUUAACCUUCCGGUUAUCAAACCUGCAGUUCUAUUAAGCUUUGUGAUUCAAUACUUAGUUUAAUAGAUUUGGCUCCCUACAGGUGAG
Molecule: unclassified non-coding RNA, 255 nt
Filed under: Hevea brasiliensis (rubber tree)
Lineage: Eukaryota; Viridiplantae; Streptophyta; Magnoliopsida; Malpighiales; Euphorbiaceae
Source: RNAcentral